GACUUUGCCAGGAGGGGGCACUAGUGUGCCCCUCUAGGCAAUACCCUCAGUAGGACACUUCCCUUCCUUUCCUUCCUAGCCUACUGUGCAGAGGAGCUCAGUCAUAUCUUGAGGCCAUGAUCUCCCUACCACAUGCCUGAACAGCUCUGCUCUGACCUGCCUUCACCUUCUGGCAAAUGAUGUAUCACUUCCAGGCCCUCACCACCUCCAGCAAUGCUGAAAAACCUUGAAUGGAGAUGAGAAGAUUAAAGUCCAAGACACUGGCAGCUCUCUGGGACAUUGCUCAUUGGGUUCAGGUAAAAGAACUUUGAGGAUGGAUACUUGAGAUGUCAUAGGGGAAUGCCAGAGUCAUCCAAGACCCAGCUUGUUCCUAUAUUCCUACUCUGCCUUUUGUAGCCGGCUUCCAUCUUCAAGGUUUUCUCAUGGUCCAAGAUGGCUGCUGAAGCUCUGGCCACCAUGUCUGAGUUCCAGACAGGAAGCAAAAGAAAGAAGAGAAAGUAAGAAGGGUGCAAGCAAGCUGACUGUUCCUCUAUUAAGGAUCCUUUCUGAAUUCCAUGUCUGGCUGUGUUGGGGGCUGUGAAAGGACUUCUUUAGUUGGUCAUAUUGCUACUUGGAAUAAAAUCAAAGUUUUGUUAUUAAGUCA
Long non-coding RNA from Bubalus bubalis (water buffalo), 643 nucleotides. RefSeq lists it as uncharacterized. NCBI's taxonomy places the organism in Eukaryota, Metazoa, Chordata, Mammalia, Artiodactyla, Bovidae. The transcript has 3 exons. The record is from RefSeq and is a predicted model, not a curated record.